CACUAACCACAUAAAUUCUACUACUAAUCAGCAGAACAGAAACCAGAGAUUGGAAAUUCUACUACCUGGGAUUUGGGUACGAUCGUUGACCUUGAUGUAGCUACUUGGACGAUGGAUGCGUUUGCAGAUCCUUGAGAGAGAGAGAGAUCGUUGAGAGCGGUGGUGGCGAUUUCAAGGCGAGUACUCGGCGGCGGUGACGAUAUUGACGAGACUUUCUUGCCUUGUUUGUUUGUUUCUCUCUCUCUCUCUCUCUCUCACAGAUUGGAAUUCACAAAUUCACAAACAUUUCUUGAAAAUGGUGAUGAGAUUCC
RNAcentral lists this long non-coding RNA (311 nucleotides) under Trifolium pratense (red clover). RNAcentral describes it as "long non-coding RNA (TPRA_LNC006973)". The record is from RNAcentral. Lineage: Eukaryota; Viridiplantae; Streptophyta; Magnoliopsida; Fabales; Fabaceae.